RNAcentral lists this ribosomal RNA (253 nucleotides) under uncultured soil bacterium. Its description in RNAcentral is "partial 16S ribosomal RNA". It matches the Rfam family "Bacterial small subunit ribosomal RNA", at positions 26 to 278 of the family's 1533-position model. The record is from RNAcentral.
AGGACGAACGCUGGCGGCGUGCUUAACACAUGCAAGUCGAACGGAAAGGCUCCAGCUUGCUGGAGUACUCGAGUGGCGAACGGGUGAGUAACACGUGGGUAAUCUGCCCUGCACUCUGGGAUAAGCCUGGGAAACUGGGUCUAAUACUGGAUAUGACCUUUCUCCUUAUGGGGUUUGGUGGUAAAGUUUUUCGGUGUAGGAUGAGCCCGCGGCCUAUCAGCUUGCUGGUGAGGUAACGCCCACCAAGGCGACG